GAUGAACGCUGGCGGCGUGCCUAAUACAUGCAAGUCGAGCGAACAGAUGAGGAGCUUGCUCCUCUGACGUUAGCGGCGGACGGGUGAGUAACACGUGGAUAACCUACCUAUAAGACUGGGAUAACUUCGGGAAACCGGAGCUAAUACCGGAUAAUAUAUUGAACCGCAUGGUUCAAUAGUAAAAGACGGUUUUGCUGUCACUUAUAGAUGGAUCCGCGCCGCAUUAGCUAGUUGGUAAGGUAACGGCUUACCAAGGCAACGAUGCGUAGCCGACCUGAGAGGGUGAUCGGCCACACUGGAACUGAGACACGAUCCAGACUCCUACGGGAGGCAGCAGUAGGGAAUCUUCCUCAAUGGGCGAAGGCCUGACGGAGCAACGCCGCGUGAGUGAUGAUGGUCUUCGGAUCGUAAAACUCUGUUAUUAGGGAAGAACAAAUGUGUAAGUAACUAUGCACGUCUUGACGGUACCUGAUCAGAAAGCCACGGCUAACUACGUG
This 497-nucleotide ribosomal RNA is filed under the name uncultured bacterium. Its description in RNAcentral is "partial 16S ribosomal RNA". It matches the Rfam family "Bacterial small subunit ribosomal RNA", at positions 28 to 507 of the family's 1533-position model. The record is from RNAcentral.